UACCUAUUUUCCCCUUAAUUUCUAAUUUCUAUCAUUUCAUCAAUCCAAUUCCAAUUUUUACCAAAAUUCUCUCUAAUUUUCAUUUUUUCAGAACUCUUUCCUCUCCAUUCUAUCAUUUCUCUCAAAAACUCCAACAAUCUUCUUUGAUCCAAUGGAUGGGAUAAUCUUCUAAGAGGUAGGAGAACAAUGAGUUCAAUUUCUUUUAAAGUUUCUUCCAUUUUUCUUCAAAUUUAGCGUGUUGAUUCUUUAAUUUUUGUUCAAGAACGAAUUCUACUUUCAAUUCUAUGUGUUUAAUUAGUAUGCAAGAUACAUUUUGUUUAGAAAAUUAAAGUGCAAGAUUCAAUUGAUUAUCUUUGUCUACAAGAAGUUUCAUAUUGUUUCUUGCUUGUUAUGAACUUUUUAAUUUUUGAAAGAUUGAUUGUCUUAAAGCUUAGAUAAAUCAUCCUUGUUCUGGGCGUAAAUAUGAGUUUAAUUCCAUCAAUGAAAUUCAAUUAAACCCAUGCUGCAUUUUUCUCUGCAAAGCAUGCAAGGUACUUUAAUUUCUUUACAAGAACAAGAAUUGAGCAUGGAUUGUUGUUGCAAUGAUUAAAAAUGAAUAUCUCUUUUCUUGAAUCUAGUUUAAGGCAAGAUAACUUGAUCUAAUUUCUUAGUUAAGAUUUUGAUUCUCACGUAUCUUUGAUCAAUGGCAUGUGUGGAUAAAGCAAUUCUAGUACGCAUGUGUUCGAUCUUUCUUUGUUUAAUUAAAGAAUUGAAUCUUAAUCAACGUUCUUACAAGGAUUUAAAGUUGAUCUUGCAAAGACCUUGGCCAAGAAUCUCCUUUUUAAAGCAAAACUCAUUCAUGUUUCUUUUAGCUCAAUGAUAAGAAUUAAAUAAUGUCCAUUGCUCCAGCUUGUUUUUCUCAGAAUUAAUUUUUACUUUUUGUUUGUUGAUUAAAUUUGCUUCUAAAAAACAACUUGCUUUGAUUCUUUGGUACAAAUUCUCUUGAUAUUUCCUGCACAUCCUUUUAUGUUUUCCUUUUUCUACUAACCACUUUCCUUUCAAGCUUUGGUUUUAAGAUUUUUUGUUAGCAACCAUUUCUUUGGGUUCGACACCCUAACUUGCGACACAGCUACGAUAAAAAGUAAAAGUAAAUCUAAAAAUUCUUUUUGCAAGGUAAAUUGGUGAGUUUAUUACCCUUUCUAUGUGUUCUUGGCUUGCAACUAGUAUUACAUUAAUUUUCCAUAUCAUUUUCUCACAUAUUGUUGCAUGAUAGAUGUUUAACAACCUUAUCAAUUAGUGUAUUUUCAUCAUAUGUUUUUUUACCUUGACAGUACCUUUGAAACGCAAAACCAAAACAUUUCUCUCUCGUUCUCCGUAAAACAAAUCCUCUAGGCAUCACCGUCGAAACCCUUCCUCCAACCGUACUGUCAUAUUGUGAUCUUCCUAAUUAUUAAGUGUCGUCAAGUUUCCUCACGUUCGAUGUCUGUCAUCGUGUUCCUCGCAUUCGCCGUCUAUCGUCAUCUUUUGAUUCAUAUAGUUUGCUCGCAAAUUUCCUCGUGUCAUUUUCAUUCGUCGUCUUCUGCCAUCUGGUGCUUCUUCUCGUUCCCUCCUCCAUUCGGCUCUUCUCGCAGUGAUAGGUCCUUCGUCAAGUGGUUAUUGCAGUGCUCCUUCAUCCUAUGCCAUUAGUUCGUUCCCUUCACUCUCUUUAGUUGUUAGUUAAAUCUUCUUUGGUGCAAGAAAAUUAAGAAUUGCUCAAUGUUUUUAUCAACGCGAGGGUAAGGAGGUAAGCAUGCUUUAUGUUUUGCAACCACAGCAUACCUAUUUUGUUCUACUUUUUUUCUGAUGGAUAGUGUACGAAGCAAGGUGGAGUUGUGGAGUGUGGGUAUUAUGUCAUGUGAUUCAUGCAUGAUAUAAUAUUAUCAAGCAACAUAACAAUCGUUGAAGUAAUGGAAGGAUCAACCUUGACAUAGUCACGGGAUAAUUUAGAUGUCGCAAGAUUGGAGUGUGUUGAAUUCGUUCCAAUGCAUAUUUACUUUGCUCAAAGGUAAAAUUUGUAACAUAAACAACUUUAUAUUUUUUUUUUUUGUGUGGGUUUGAUUACAUAAUGUGUUGUUGUAUUGACUAUCCUGCAAUUGUGGUAGUCAUUGAAAAGUUAUUUUGUUUGAUUCGCUUAGACAUAUGUUUUAGGAAUCGUUUUGACAUGUACUUAAAAAUUUGGUACUUUGUUGCGUUGACUAUCCUACAGUUAUGGUAGUCAUUCAAAAGUUAAUUUUGUGUGAUCCGCUUAGUAAUAUGUUUUAGGAAUUGUGUUGACAUGUACUUAGGACCUUGAUACUUUGUUGCAUGACUAUCUUGCAGUUAUGGUAGUCAUUGGAAAACUAUUAUGUUCGAUAUGCUUAGACAUAUGUUUUAGGAAUUGAAUCAUGUUGACAUGUACUUAGUUGAA
Cucumis sativus (cucumber) is the source of this 2425-nucleotide long non-coding RNA. RefSeq lists it as uncharacterized. Lineage: Eukaryota; Viridiplantae; Streptophyta; Magnoliopsida; Cucurbitales; Cucurbitaceae. The transcript has 2 exons. The record is from RefSeq and is a predicted model, not a curated record.